Molecule: ribosomal RNA, 497 nt
Filed under: uncultured bacterium
Lineage: Bacteria
Description: partial 16S ribosomal RNA
Rfam family: Bacterial small subunit ribosomal RNA
Source: RNAcentral
GACGAACGCUGGCGGCGUGCCUAAUACAUGCAAGUUGAGCGAUGAAGAUUGGUGCUUGCACCAAUUUGAAGAGCAGCGAACGGGUGAGUAACGCGUGGGGAAUCUGCCUUUGGGCGGGGGACAACAUUUGGAAACGAAUGCUAAUACCGCAUAAUAACUUUAAACAUAAGUUUUAAGUUUGAAAGAUGCAAUUGCAUCACUCAAAGAUGAUCCCGCGUUGUAUUAGCUAGUUGGUGAGGUAAAGGCUCACCAAGGCGAUGAUACAUAGCCGACCUGAGAGGGUGAUCGGCCACAUUGGGACUGAGACACGGCCCAAACUCCUACGGGAGGCAGCAGUAGGGAAUCUUCGGCAAUGGACGAAAGUCUGACCGAGCAACGCCGCGUGAGUGAAGAAGGUUUUCGGAUCGUAAAACUCUGUUGGUAGAGAAGAACGUUGGUGAGAGUGGAAAGCUCAUCAAGUGACGGUAACUACCCAGAAAGGGACGGCUAACUACGUG